GCUCAGUAAUGGUAGGAACUGUGCUCUAGUGUUCAUUCAGUAGUGGCUGGAAGCAUGUUGCCAUUGCCAAUGGGAUAGCUUCAGACAGCCUGUUCUAAAAUGCAAGCACACUAGUGGCAGAAUGUAUGCUCCAGAUUGCAAGCUAAGUAGUUUCAGUACUUCUAUGCUAGAGCUCAGACACAGUAGUGAUGUAUGCAGGCUGCAAACUGCCAUCCUACUAUUUGUG
RNAcentral lists this small RNA (226 nucleotides) under Bos taurus (domestic cattle). The record is from RNAcentral. Lineage: Eukaryota; Metazoa; Chordata; Mammalia; Artiodactyla; Bovidae.